GGGUCGAUGCCCGAGCGGUUAAU
Molecule: non-coding RNA, 23 nt
Filed under: Arabidopsis thaliana (thale cress)
Lineage: Eukaryota; Viridiplantae; Streptophyta; Magnoliopsida; Brassicales; Brassicaceae
Source: RNAcentral